GACGAACGCUGGCGGCGUGCUUAACACAUGCAAGUCGAACGGUAAGGCUCCAGCUUGCUGGGGUACACGAGUGGCGAACGGGUGAGUAACACGUGGGUGACCUGCCCUGCACUUCGGGAUAAGCCUGGGAAACUGGGUCUAAUACCGGAUAGGACCGCACCGUGAGGGUGUGGUGGAAAGUUUUUUCGGUGUGGGAUGGGCCCGCGGCCUAUCAGCUUGUUGGUGGGGUAAUGGCCUACCAAGGCGGCGACGGGUAGCCGGCCUGAGAGGGUGGACGGCCACAUUGGGACUGAGACACGGCCCAGACUCCUACGGGAGGCAGCAGUGGGGAAUAUCGCACAAUGGGCGGAAGCCUGAUGCAGCGACGCCGCGUGGGGGAUGACGGCCUUCGGGUUGUAAACUCCUUUCACCAUCGACGAAGGGUUUCUGACGGUAGAUGGAGAAGAAGCACCGGCUAACUACGUG
Molecule: ribosomal RNA, 465 nt
Filed under: uncultured bacterium
Lineage: Bacteria
Description: partial 16S ribosomal RNA
Rfam family: Bacterial small subunit ribosomal RNA
Source: RNAcentral